RNAcentral lists this unclassified non-coding RNA (26 nucleotides) under Mus musculus (house mouse). Its description in RNAcentral is "oocyte_clustered_small_RNA13961". Lineage: Eukaryota; Metazoa; Chordata; Mammalia; Rodentia; Muridae. The record is from RNAcentral.
UCCUUCAACGUCAGCCUCUCCUGAAG